UGAGGAAUAUUGGUCAAUGGACGCAAGUCUGAACCAGCCAAGUAGCGUGCAGGAUGACGGCCCUAUGGGUUGUAAACUGCUUUUAUAUGGGGAUAAAGUGGGGAACGUGUUCCCUUUUGCAGGUACCACAUGAAUAAGGACCGGCUAAUUCCGUGCCAGCAGCCGCGGUAAUACGGAAGGUUCGGGCGUUAUCCGGAUUUAUUGGGUUUAAAGGGAGCGUAGGCCGUUUGGUAAGCGUGUUGUGAAAUGUAGGAGCUCAACUUCUAGAUUGCAGCGCGAACUGUCAGACUUGAGUGCGCACAACGUAGGCGGAAUUCAUAGUGUAGCGGUGAAAUGCUUAGAUAUCAUGAAGAACUCCGAUGGCGAAGGCAGCUUACGGGAGCGCAACUGACGCUGAAGCUCGAAGGUGCGGGUAUCGAACAGG
Molecule: ribosomal RNA, 424 nt
Filed under: Verrucomicrobiota bacterium
Lineage: Bacteria; Pseudomonadati; Verrucomicrobiota
Description: Verrucomicrobia bacterium partial 16S ribosomal RNA
Rfam family: Bacterial small subunit ribosomal RNA
Source: RNAcentral